AGAAUCUGAAACAACUUACUUACAAUUAGUCAGAGCGCGUUAAUGCGUGAUGGCGUACAUCUUGCAGUAUGGACCGGCGAGUUAUGUUAACAUGCGAGGUUAAGUGGAUAAAAGCGGAGCCGUAGAGAAAUCGAGUCUUAAUAGGGCGCUUAGUAUGUUGACAUAUACCCGAAACCAUGUGAUCUAUUCAUGAGCAGGCUGAAGCUUGGAUAACACCAAGUGGAGGGCCGAACCGUAGUACGCUGAAAAGUGCCCGGAUGACUUGUGAAUAGCGGAGAAAUUCCAAUCGAACUUGGAGAUAGCUGGUUCUCCUCGAAAUAGCUUUAGGGCUAGCGUGUGAUGUUAAACUUUGGUGGUAGAGCACUGAAUAUGGAAUGGCCGCGCCUAGCGGUACUGACUAUAAUCAAACUCCGAAUACCAUUGUGUAUUAUCAUGCAGUCGGAACCGGGGUGCUAACGUCCCGGCUCGCGAGGGCAACAACCCAGAUCGUCGGCUAAGGUCCCAAAAUCGUGUUAAGUCAGAAAGGUUGUGAGUUUUCAUAAACAACUAGGAGGUUGGCUUAGAAGCAGCCACCCUUUAAAGAGUGCGUAAUAGCUCACUAGUCAAGAGAACUUGCGCCAAUAAUGUAACGGGAGUAAAACACGAUACCGAAGCCACGGGUACGAAAGUACGUUAGAGGAGCGUUCUUAGUGCGGCGAAGUCAGACCGUGAGGACUGGUGGAGCGCUAAGAAGUGAGAAUGCCGGUAUGAGUAACGAUUUGAGGUGAGAAUCCUCAACGCCUAUUGGGAAAGGUUUCCUGGGGAAGGUUCGUCCACCCAGGGUUAGUCAGGACCUAAGGAGAGGCCGAAAGGCGUAUCUGAUGGACAACAGGUUAAUAUUCCUGUACUGGCU
This 892-nucleotide ribosomal RNA is filed under the name Mycoplasma sp. CSL10166. RNAcentral describes it as "partial 23S ribosomal RNA". It matches the Rfam family "Bacterial large subunit ribosomal RNA", at positions 545 to 1449 of the family's 2925-position model. Lineage: Bacteria; Bacillati; Mycoplasmatota; Mollicutes; Mycoplasmatales; Mycoplasmataceae. The record is from RNAcentral.